AUGAUCUUUCUCGAAUCAAAUCAUUCAUGAUCUUUCUCGGAUCAGAUUCUUCAUGAUCUUUCUCGGAUCAUAUUCUUCCACACAUAAGCCUGUGGGGGCUGUCCCAGGCAUAAGCUCCUGGCAGGCUAUUCCACAUGACAAUGCCAGUCCAAACCAAAUUUUUCUUUCUUUUCAUUUUUAUGAAAUUAUAAUAUUUGACUUCAUUAAUCAAUUCAACUUUUACAGUGUAAUAAAUAUGUCAUACCCAU
This 248-nucleotide long non-coding RNA is filed under the name Elaeis guineensis (African oil palm). RNAcentral describes it as "long non-coding RNA (EGUI_LNC028643)". Lineage: Eukaryota; Viridiplantae; Streptophyta; Magnoliopsida; Arecales; Arecaceae. The record is from RNAcentral.